This 442-nucleotide ribosomal RNA is filed under the name uncultured bacterium. RNAcentral describes it as "partial 16S ribosomal RNA". It matches the Rfam family "Bacterial small subunit ribosomal RNA", at positions 338 to 795 of the family's 1533-position model. The record is from RNAcentral.
CCUACGGGCGGCAGCAGUGGGGAAUAUUGGGCAAUGGGCGCAAGCCUGAACCAGCAACGUCGCGUGAAGGAAGACGGCUUUCGGGUUGUUAACUCCCUUUAAGAGGGAAGAGCAGAAGACGGUACCUCCUGAAUAAGCCACGGCUAACUACGUGCCAGCAGCCGCGGUAAUACGUAGGUGGCAAGCGUUGUCCGGAUUUACUGGGUGUAAAGGGCGUGCAGCCGGGAAGACAAGUCAGAUGUGAAAUCUUGCGGCUCAAUCGCGGGACUGCAUUUGAAACUGUUUUUCUUGAGUACCGGAGAGGUCAUCGGAAGUCGUUGUGUAGCGGUGAAAUGCGUAGAUAUAAGGAAGAACACCAGUGGCGAAGGCGGAUGACUGGACGGCGACUGACGGUGAGGCGCGAAAGCGUGGGGAGCGAACAGGAUUAGAUACCCUAGUAGUC